Molecule: ribosomal RNA, 510 nt
Filed under: uncultured bacterium
Lineage: Bacteria
Description: partial 16S ribosomal RNA
Rfam family: Bacterial small subunit ribosomal RNA
Source: RNAcentral
GACGAACGCUGGCGGCGUGCUUAACACAUGCAAGUCGAACGAAGAGCGAUGGAAGCUUGCUUCUAUCAAUCUUAGUGGCGAACGGGUGAGUAACGCGUAAUCAACCUGCCCUUCAGAGGGGGACAACAGUUGGAAACGACUGCUAAUACCGCAUACGAUCUAAUCUCGGCAUCGAGGAAAGAUGAAAGGUGGCCUCUAUUUAUAAGCUAUCACUGAAGGAGGGGAUUGCGUCUGAUUAGCUAGUUGGAGGGGUAACGGCCCACCAAGGCGAUGAUCAGUAGCCGGUCUGAGAGGAUGAACGGCCACAUUGGGACUGAGACACGGCCCAGACUCCUACGGGAGGCAGCAGUGGGGAAUCUUCCGCAAUAGACGAAAGUCUGACGGAGCAACGCCGCGUAAGUGAUGACGGCCUUCGGGUUGUAAAGCUCUGUUAAUCGGGACGAAAGGCCUUCUUGCGAACAGUUAGAAGGAUUGACGGUACCGGAAUAGAAAGCCACGGCUAACUACGUG